Molecule: ribosomal RNA, 612 nt
Filed under: uncultured bacterium
Lineage: Bacteria
Description: bacterial SSU rRNA
Rfam family: Bacterial small subunit ribosomal RNA
Source: RNAcentral
CCUACGGGAGGCAGCAGUGAGGAAUAUUGGACAAUGGGCGCAAGCCUGAUCCAGCCAUGCCGCGUGCAGGAAGAAGCAUCUAUGGUGUGUAAACUGCUUUUGUACAGGAAGAAACACUCCCCCGUGAGGGAGCUUGACGGUACUGUAAGAAUAAGGACCGGCUAACUCCGUGCCAGCAGCCGCGGUAAUACGGAGGGUCCGAGCGUUAUCCGGAAUCAUUGGGUUUAAAGGGUCCGUAGGCGGUUUAAUAAGUCAGUGGUGAAAUCUGGUCGCUCAACGAUCAAACGGCCAUUGAUACUGUUAGACUUGAAUUAUAAGGAAGUAACUAGAAUAUGUAGUGUAGCGGUGAAAUGCUUAGAUAUUACAUGGAAUACCAAUUGCGAAGGCAGGUUACUACUUAUGGAUUGACGCUGAUGGACGAAAGCGUGGGGAGCGAACAGGAUUAGAUACCCUGGUAGUCCACGCCGUAAACGAUGGAUACUAGCUGUUCGGAGCAAUCUGAGUGGCUAAGCGAAAGUGAUAAGUAUCCCACCUGGGGAGUACGUUCGCAAGAAUGAAACUCAAGUAGUAGUAGGCGUGAGAGAGACGACGACGACGACGACGGAGGAGGAG